UACGAAGGGGGCUAGCGUUGCUCGGAAUCACUGGGCGUAAAGCGCACGUAGGCGGAUCUUUAAGUCAGGGGUGAAAUCCUGGAGCUCAACUCCAGAACUGCCUUUGAAACUAGAUAGCUAGAAUCUUGGAGAGGUCAGUGGAAUUCCGAGUGUAGAGGUGAAAUUCGUAGAUAUUCGGAAGAACACCAGUGGCGAAGGCGACUGACUGGACAAGUAUUGACGCUGAGGUGCGAAAGCGUGGGGAGCAAACAGG
This 253-nucleotide ribosomal RNA is filed under the name uncultured bacterium. Its description in RNAcentral is "partial 16S ribosomal RNA". It matches the Rfam family "Bacterial small subunit ribosomal RNA", at positions 524 to 776 of the family's 1533-position model. The record is from RNAcentral.